GCAUAAUCAUUAGUCUUUUAAUUAAAGGCUGGUAUGAAUGGUUGGACGAGGUGCAAGCUGUCUCACUUGGACCAUUAUUGAAUUUAACUUUUCAGUGAAAAGGCUGAAAUGUAAUUGGAGGACGAGAAGACCCUAUAGAUCUUGAUAACGUAUGAGUACAACAAAGUUGGAAUGAGUUGAGUUAAAUUCAAAAGUUAUUCUGUUGGGGUGACAGGAAGAUAAAAUUAACUUUUCUUUUUAAAAUACACGGAUGAGUGAAUAAUUGAUCCAUUAAUUGUGAUUAUAAGACUAAGUUACCUUAGGGAUAACAGCGUAAUCUUUUUCGAGAGUUCUAAUCGACAAAAAGGGUUGCGACCUCGAUGUUGGAUUAAGGAUUAUUUUGGGUGUAGAAGUUCAAAGUUUAGGUCUGUUCGACCUUUAAAUCCUUACAU
Molecule: ribosomal RNA, 431 nt
Filed under: Isonychia valida
Lineage: Eukaryota; Metazoa; Arthropoda; Insecta; Ephemeroptera; Isonychiidae
Description: partial 16S ribosomal RNA
Rfam family: Bacterial large subunit ribosomal RNA
Source: RNAcentral